Molecule: ribosomal RNA, 468 nt
Filed under: uncultured bacterium
Lineage: Bacteria
Description: partial 16S ribosomal RNA
Rfam family: Bacterial small subunit ribosomal RNA
Source: RNAcentral
GACGAACGCUGGCGGCGUGCUUAACACAUGCAAGUCGAACGGAAAGGCCCUGCUUUUGUGGGGUGCUCGAGUGGCGAACGGGUGAGUAACACGUGAGUAACCUGCCCUUGACUUUGGGAUAACUUCAGGAAACUGGGGCUAAUACCGGAUAGGAGCUCCUGCUGCAUGGUGGGGGUUGGAAAGUUUCGGCGGUUGGGGAUGGACUCGCGGCUUAUCAGCUUGUUGGUGGGGUAGUGGCUUACCAAGGCUUUGACGGGUAGCCGGCCUGAGAGGGUGACCGGCCACAUUGGGACUGAGAUACGGCCCAGACUCCUACGGGAGGCAGCAGUGGGGAAUAUUGCACAAUGGGCGGAAGCCUGAUGCAGCAACGCCGCGUGCGGGAUGACGGCCUUCGGGUUGUAAACCGAUUUCGCCUGUGACGAAGCGUGAGUGACGGUAAUGGGUAAAGAAGCAACGGCUAACUACGUG